RNAcentral lists this long non-coding RNA (264 nucleotides) under Hordeum vulgare. RNAcentral describes it as "long non-coding RNA (HVUL_LNC019000)". The record is from RNAcentral. Lineage: Eukaryota; Viridiplantae; Streptophyta; Magnoliopsida; Poales; Poaceae.
CAGCACGUCCGGCGGGCGAUCCGGAGGCGGGGACGCCGGAUCUGGGCCGGGGCUGCCCGGAUCCGCCCAUUCCCGAUGAUCUCGAGGCGCAACGGCAAUCUUCUCGGCGACUCACCUCCAUGGAUCGGGCAUCCCUGGGAGCUUCUCUGCAGAGAAAAGAAGGGGAAGGGAUGAGAUUAGCGAGCGAAGAAAGAGAGAUGGCCUGGACCAGUUGAGCUGCUCGCGAAUGCAUGCGGUGGAGCUGCUCGUUCCACAUGAUGCCGC